Molecule: ribosomal RNA, 253 nt
Filed under: uncultured bacterium
Lineage: Bacteria
Description: partial 16S ribosomal RNA
Rfam family: Bacterial small subunit ribosomal RNA
Source: RNAcentral
UACAGAGGUCUCAAGCGUUGUUCGGAUUCAUUGGGCGUAAAGGGUGCGUAGGUGGCGGGGUUAGUCAGGUGUGAAAUCUCGGAGCUCAACUCCGAAACUGCACUUGAUACUGCCUUGCUAGAGUACUGGAGAGGAGAUUGGAAUUUACGGUGUAGCAGUGAAAUGCGUAGAUAUCGUAAGGAAGACCAGUGGCGAAGGCGGCUCACUGGUCCAUUACUGACGCUGAGGUGCGAAAGCGUGGGGAGCAAACAGG